Astatotilapia calliptera (eastern happy) is the source of this 586-nucleotide long non-coding RNA. NCBI's taxonomy places the organism in Eukaryota, Metazoa, Chordata, Actinopteri, Cichliformes, Cichlidae. The record is from Ensembl.
UGAUGACCCAGGGCCCAUGGGCAGUUUUGGGCUUGUUGGUGUGUAACAUGAUUAUCUGUUGUGCUUGUAUCUCUGGGUUCCCUUUCUCCUGUGAGUGUGCAUGUGUGUGGAGUCCUGGUUUUCCUGGGCCACCAGGCUUGGUGGGUGUGUCCCGUUGGGAGGCUGGCCACACCCUUGGAGGAGGAACACACACACAGCGCAGCCGUGACAACUUUGGAUGGGUCGCGGGGGGUGCUGGAGCCUAUCCCAGCUGCCAUAGGGCGAGAGGCAGGAUACACCCUGGACAGGUUACCUAUGAGGCUAUCUUUAUGAACUGCUCAUCAGAACAAAAGGAGGUCAACAUCCAAAGAAGAUUCUAAGGAGUUUGGAAAGAAAGCAACUUGCCUUCUUUUUGAAGACAUUUCACCUCUCAUCUAAGAUGAUUCUUCAGUACUUAAAGCAAAUUGGGGGAGAGUCCCAGCUAUUUCAACCCUAGCGAGGGUUGUCCUUUAAGAGGGUUGUUGAUUCACUGUUAGUCAUGUGCCUCAUCACACGAGCCAAGGUGUGAAAAGAGUCAUGGGACAUUACCACCAGGGGUUUUGGGUGA